This 780-nucleotide long non-coding RNA is filed under the name Musa acuminata (dwarf banana). Its description in RNAcentral is "long non-coding RNA (MACU_LNC006001)". The record is from RNAcentral. Lineage: Eukaryota; Viridiplantae; Streptophyta; Magnoliopsida; Zingiberales; Musaceae.
GUUAUACCAACUGUUAUACCAGGAAAUUCCAGCUGAAGGGUAUCUAUCAUUGUAUCUACUACAUGUUAUACCAUGAAACUUUGUUGAUAUCAACAGUAGAUACCACUGCCAACUCAUUGAAUUGCAGGUUCAUAUUUGUUUCAGAUUUAAUUUCUUAGUUUUAGUUGCUGAGCUGAUGUAAAUUUACCUCCCUUGUCUAAAGUCUCCGUUCUCAAUAGUCAGUGUGUGUGUGUGUGUGUGUCUGCAUCUACGUCUACAUGUGCAUGUGCAUGCGAGUGAGUGCUCACGACCCUGACCUUGCCCCAUCCAAGGCCUGGAUUGACAACUCCACCCUUGAAAAGCUCAAUGACCUCCAGGAUGAACACUUCAUGAAUACAGGUGCCUGAUUUGUCAUCCCUUCUGUUAGGGAUUUCUAUUCUGUUUGUUUGUUUGUUUCAGUGCUAUUUUCAUCUCUUCUUCUUGUCAAGGAUUAUUUAGGUGGCUGUUGCAUUGGAAGUUCAUGAAGCGGAUGUUGAUGGAGAUACAGGAGGUCGCUAGGGUUGUCCAUUCCUGAUAGGUGGUCUCCACUGUGGAUCUGAUUUAGUCUGGGAGGUAUCUCAGGCAGUGGCCUAUAACCGGACCAUUGUACUACUCUACAAGAGCAGGUAUUCUCCUAGUUCAAAGUCUUGUUUUAUGUGGUUCGAUAUCUUUUGUUGCUUUCUUGGUGAUUUCACACACAUUUUUUUGGCAGAAGUUAAAUCUUUCUAGGAUAUAUCAAAUUGGUUUCAUCUCCAGUCAUUU